This is a long non-coding RNA of Acanthaster planci (crown-of-thorns starfish), 1636 nucleotides long. RefSeq lists it as uncharacterized. The record is from RefSeq and is a predicted model, not a curated record. Lineage: Eukaryota; Metazoa; Echinodermata; Asteroidea; Valvatida; Acanthasteridae.
UUGCUUUUAGUCCACACUUCACAGGAAUAAAAUUCAUGACUAGGCCCAGUUCUUCAGUACCCCAAGAGCUGUGGCGGUCCAACGUCAGACCCCACCACAGUUCGGGGGGGGGAGGCCUAGUUCUUCAGUUGAGAGUGGUGAGACCUUGGAUGGAGAAAGGAAAACACCAUGCUGAGACUAAUCCUACCUGUCGCCUGUAGGACUAGGAUCAACACUAGGCAUGCCUACAUUAGGCUACAGUACACGGCAUGGCCCAAUUCUCUGGAUCUGGAUGAAUACUCUGAAAAGCUCUAAAUGAGCAUCACUCAGAAUGGAACGGGGGAGUUGUUCAGUACAGCUGUAGAUGGUUUUGCAGUGCUGUUUUGAAGCUAGAUAUCUUCUCAAUAGAAGUCGUGUGUUUUGGCAGCUUAUUCCAAUCUCUUGCCAUCUUUCUUAGGAAAUAAUGAAUGAAGAUGGGAUUGUGACACAGACUGUGGAAGGCAGGCACAUGGCUGUAGCAUGAAUACAAAUCUUCCAAGCUAGUUUUGACACUCUUUAGCAUACCUGUAUUAAAGUACACAUAUUUCCAGAAUUCUGACAAUGCAUGUACUGUUCAUGUAAACUUACUGACAGGAGAUGCUUGGCGUUGUAAUUUGGUAAGGCCAGGCACUUGGAUGCAUCAUUAAUUACCGUAGAUGAGAAGGCAAAAUCCCAGUCUUUCUUGCCAGACUGACAAACUUUGGCAUAUAAGUAUUUCCAGAAUUCUGACACUUUAUUUGUAUACAAACAUCCUGUAUGUUAGCCUAUUAAGCCUGACACAAAAGUCAAUGAAAAACUUGGUUCUUGAUAUACUAGUAACUUCUGUGUUAAGUUGUUGUCAGUUGAUGUGGAGAUCAGUGGAUUUUCAAAAACUCAGAUUUGAAUUUAGACUCAGACCUUCUGGACUUCGACUCAAACAAUGAGAACAUAGCUACCAGGACUUGGCCCAAGCCCCCCUCCCUGAUUUUUAACUUUAUCUAACCACAUAAGACUGGUGGUCUAUGCGUUUAUAUGUCUGUGGUGCCGUGGCAUGUGCAAGAUGGGAAAACAGGACACGACAAGGUUUUGAACACUCCUCGGUUUAGAAGUGUCCGUUUUGCACUGAAGGAAAAACAACAUUGGAAAAUUGAGCCAAAAUGAAAAUUUCAUUGGAAAGUGGGAGGAGGUCAUUAAGAGAAAAUGAUGGAGCAAGGAGUGGCCAAUGAGUGGACAGCAUCAGUGGAGAGCACAGAACUUGACUCUGACAAGUUUGGCCUCAAGAAAAUGAUGAAGUUGACUCUGAUGUUAGCCGUAGCACAGACAGUGAAGAUGUGGGAAGGCCUCAUUGCCAGGUGAAUGUACUGCCAUGGAUGUCUUACAUGAAUGUUGAGGCUAUCUAGCAUCAUGGUGCGAGUGGACUGACCGAUGAAAUCUCCAACGUGAAGAGGCAGGUUACGUCAUAAGUAGCACAGACUUCCUCAUAUGAAAGCUGUGGGUAUGCCCCAGGGGAAGUAGACCAUGAUGCUGAUGAGAAGAGCGCCAUCCCCUCCUUCAGCCUGGAGAGAGAGAAGAUGGAGGACAAGAUCCUAUUGGACUUCACAGAGAUGGUUCAUGAGAAUGUCAAGGAGAGGAAGUAACU